Molecule: small nucleolar RNA, 70 nt
Organism: Bison bison bison
Lineage: Eukaryota; Metazoa; Chordata; Mammalia; Artiodactyla; Bovidae
Gene: SNORD25
Rfam family: Small nucleolar RNA SNORD25
About the family: U25 is a member of the C/D class of snoRNA which contain the C (UGAUGA) and D (CUGA) box motifs. U25 is found in gene clusters in plants, and within the U22 snoRNA host gene (UHG) in mammals.
Source: Ensembl
CCUCUCUGUGAUGAGACCCUUUUCACAGACCUGUACUGAACUCCGUGAGGAUAAGAAACUCUGAGGAGGC